GCUGGGUGUGGUGGUGCACACCUGUGGUCCCAGCACUCAGGAGGCUGAGGCAGGAGGAUGGCUUGAGCCAAGGAGUUUAAGACCAACAUGGGCCACAGAGUGAGACCCUGUCUCAA
RNAcentral lists this small RNA (116 nucleotides) under Marmota monax (woodchuck). Lineage: Eukaryota; Metazoa; Chordata; Mammalia; Rodentia; Sciuridae. The record is from RNAcentral.